AUAUAGUAAGGGAUAACAGUUGGAAACGACUGCUAAUACCAUAUACGCCCUUAGGGGGAAAGAUUUAUCGCUAUAUGAUGAGCCCGCGUAAGAUUAGCUAGUUGGUGAGGUAAUGGCUCACCAAGGCUACGAUCUUUAGCUGGUCUGAGAGGAUGAUCAGCCACACUGGAACUGAGACACGGUCCAGACUCCUACGGGAGGCAGCAGUGGGGAAUAUUGGACAAUGGGCGCAAGCCUGAUCCAGCCAUGCCGCGUGAAUGAUGAAGGCCUUAGGGUUGUAAAGUUCUUUCGCUAUCGAGGAUAAUGACUGUAGAUAGAUAAGAAGCCCCGGCUAACUUCGUGCCAGCAGCCGCGGUAAUACGAAGGGGGCUAGCGUUGUUCGGAAUCACUGGGCGUAAAGCGCGCGUAGGCGGCUAUUCAAGUCAGAGGUGAAAUCCCAGAGCUCAACUUUGGAACUGCCUUUGAAACUGUAUAGCUGGAGUGUUGGAGGGGAUAGCGGAAUUCCUAGUGUAGAGGUGAAAUUCGUAGAUACUAGGAGGAACACCGGUGGCGAAGGCGGCUAUCUGGACAACAACUGACGCUGAGGCGCGAAAGCGUGGGUAUCAAACAGGAUUAGAUACCCUGGUAGUCCACGCUGUAAACGAUGAGUGCUAGCUGUCGGGCCCUUAGGGUUCGGUGGCGCUGCUAACGCAUUAAGCACUCCGCCUGGGGAGUACGGUCGCAAGAUUAAAACUCAAAGGAAUUGACGGGGACCCGCACAAGCG
This 764-nucleotide ribosomal RNA is filed under the name uncultured bacterium. RNAcentral's name for it is "bacterial SSU rRNA". It matches the Rfam family "Bacterial small subunit ribosomal RNA", at positions 131 to 931 of the family's 1533-position model. The record is from RNAcentral.